Molecule: small nucleolar RNA, 90 nt
Organism: Neltuma alba
Lineage: Eukaryota; Viridiplantae; Streptophyta; Magnoliopsida; Fabales; Fabaceae
Product: small nucleolar RNA R24
Exons: 1
Source: RefSeq, a predicted model, not a curated record
CGUGUGAUGAUGAGCCUUAACAUGUAAGAAGAGUGCCAAGUUGUGGCUUCUUCAAUGAAAUAUCCUUGUUACGCUUGGCUUCUGAGCUGU